Callorhinus ursinus (northern fur seal) is the source of this 106-nucleotide non-coding RNA. The record is from RefSeq and is a predicted model, not a curated record. NCBI's taxonomy places the organism in Eukaryota, Metazoa, Chordata, Mammalia, Carnivora, Otariidae.
GGGCGCCUGGGUAACUCAGUCGGUUAAGCGUCUGCCUUUCACUCAGGUCAGGAUCCCAGGGAUCCUGGGUUUGAGCUCUGCACUGGGCUCCCUGCUCGGUGGGGAG